GAUGAACGCUGGCGGCGUGCUUAACACAUGCAAGUCGAACGGUGAAGGCGGAGCUUGCUCUGCUGGAUCAGUGGCGAACGGGUGAGUAACACGUGAGCAAUCUGCCCCUGACUCUGGGAUAAGCGCUGGAAACGGCGUCUAAUACUGGAUACGAGCUGCGAAGGCAUCUUCAGCAGCUGGAAAGAAUUUCGGUCAGGGAUGAGCUCGCGGCCUAUCAGCUUGUUGGUGAGGUAAUGGCUCACCAAGGCGUCGACGGGUAGCCGGCCUGAGGGGGUGACCGGCCAAAUGGGAAUGGGGCACGGGCCAGAACCCCCAGGGGGGGAAGGGGGGGGAAAUUUUCAAAAAGGGGGAAAGGCCGUGUGGAGGGACCCCGGGGGGGGGAGGACGGCCUUGGGGUUAAAAACCUUUUUUAGGGGGAAAGAAGCGAAAGGGACGGUACCGGCAAAAAAGGCCCCGGCUAACUACGG
This 467-nucleotide ribosomal RNA is filed under the name uncultured bacterium. RNAcentral's name for it is "partial 16S ribosomal RNA". It matches the Rfam family "Bacterial small subunit ribosomal RNA", at positions 28 to 506 of the family's 1533-position model. The record is from RNAcentral.